Molecule: transfer RNA, 62 nt
Filed under: Dipodomys ordii (Ord's kangaroo rat)
Lineage: Eukaryota; Metazoa; Chordata; Mammalia; Rodentia; Heteromyidae
Rfam family: tRNA
About the family: Transfer RNA (tRNA) molecules are approximately 80 nucleotides in length.
Source: Rfam by way of RNAcentral
UAUGGCUUAGAGGUAGAGCGCUUGCCUAGCAUGCAUGAAGCCCUAGGUUCAAUUCCUCAGUA